This 164-nucleotide ribosomal RNA is filed under the name Adansonia rubrostipa. RNAcentral's name for it is "5.8S ribosomal RNA". It matches the Rfam family "5.8S ribosomal RNA". Rfam says of the family: 5.8S ribosomal RNA (5.8S rRNA) is a component of the large subunit of the eukaryotic ribosome. It is transcribed by RNA polymerase I as part of the 45S precursor that also contains 18S and 28S rRNA. The record is from RNAcentral. Lineage: Eukaryota; Viridiplantae; Streptophyta; Magnoliopsida; Malvales; Malvaceae.
GAAAUGACUCUCGGCAACGGAUAUCUCGGCUCUCGCAUCGAUGAAGAACGUAGCGAAAUGCGAUACUUGGUGUGAAUUGCAGAAUCCCGUGAACCAUCGAGUCUUUGAACGCAAGUUGCGCCCGAGGCCACUAGGCCGAGGGCACGUCUGCCUGGGUGUCACGC